RNAcentral lists this ribosomal RNA (388 nucleotides) under Ctenophora sp. (in: diatoms). Its description in RNAcentral is "Ctenophora sp. (in: Bacillariophyta) partial small subunit ribosomal RNA". It matches the Rfam family "Eukaryotic small subunit ribosomal RNA", at positions 582 to 975 of the family's 1831-position model. The record is from RNAcentral. Lineage: Eukaryota; Bacillariophyta; Fragilariophyceae; Fragilariales; Fragilariaceae.
AUUCCAGCUCCAAUAGCGUAUAUUAAAGUUGUUGCAGUUAAAAAGCUCGUAGUUGAACUUCGGAACCGGUCGAUUGGUCCGUCCUCUGGAUUGUGUACUGAUCGAUCUGUUCUUCUUCGCGAAGACCGCGUGUGCCCUUAACUGGGUGUGCACGGGAUUCACGACGUUUACUUUGAAAAAAUUAGAGUGUUCAAAGCAGGCAUUCGCUUGAAUAUCUCAGCAUGGAAUAAUAGAAUAGGACUUUGGUCUUAUUUUGUUGGUUUCCGGGACCGAAGUAAUGAUUAAUAGGGACAGUUGGGGGCAUUCGUAUUUCAUUGUCAGAGGUGAAAUUCUUGGAUUUAUGAAAGACGAACUUCUGCGAAAGCGUUUGCCAAGGAUGUUUUCAUUA